Molecule: ribosomal RNA, 253 nt
Filed under: uncultured bacterium
Lineage: Bacteria
Description: partial 16S ribosomal RNA
Rfam family: Bacterial small subunit ribosomal RNA
Source: RNAcentral
UACGUAGGGGGCAAGCGUUGUCCGGAAUCAUUGGGCGUAAAGCGCGUGUAGGCGGCUCUGCAAGUCGGGUGUGAAAUCCCACGGCUCAACCAUGGAAGUGCACUCGAAACUGCAGGGCUAGAGUCCUGGAGAGGAAGGUGGAAUGUUUGGUGUAGAGGUGAAAUUCGUAGAUAUUCGCAAGAACACCAGUGGCGAAGGCGGCUCACUGGCCCGGUACUGACGCUGAGGUGCGAAAGCGUGGGGAGCAAACAGG